This 775-nucleotide transfer RNA is filed under the name uncultured cyanobacterium. RNAcentral's name for it is "partial 16S-23S ribosomal RNA intergenic spacer". The stretch from base 268 to 340 matches the Rfam family "tRNA". Lineage: Bacteria; Bacillati; Cyanobacteriota. The record is from RNAcentral.
CAGGGAGACAACACAAUGAUUUUGAUGCCUGAGUGCUUUUAUUCUUAGGCCGAAAUCCUGUCACCUUAGGUCGAUCGGUACCUCAGCUUUGAAGUUAAGGAUCAGCAGCAAUGUUGAUUGCUUGAUGGAGAUUUUCAGUUCCUAAACUUUGUCUAGGUCACACCCCAAAAGGGAUGAGACUCCUGGGCCAUUAGCUCAGGUGGUUAGAGCGCACCCCUGAUAAGGGUGAGGUCCCUGGUUCAAGUCCAGGAUGGCCCAUUCGGUGUUGGGGGUUUAGCUCAGUUGGUAGAGCGCCUGCUUUGCAAGUAGGAUGUCAGGAGUUCGAGUCUCCUAACCUCCACUGACCGAACUUGAUUCCCAUCUCCAAUUUUUUUGGAGUUGAGCUCGAUUGGAGUGUGAUUUAGAUGUGUCCGCUGGAUGACCCCAGCUUCCUGUCAUUCCAAGUUUUAGGUUGAUGCCUUGAAUUUGGUUGAUAAGAUGCUGGGCUCGGAUCAAAUGAUCAAGCAAUUGAUGAUUUGAUUUUAAGUUCUAGCAGAACCUUGACAACUGCAUAGGUGAGUCUGGAAAAAACAAAGCAUCUUACAGAUGCAUUGUUUUGAAUCUGAUCUUCUGAAAUGGAGAUUGGAUCUAGAACAAUGAAAAUUCUUUUGAGCAAGAGCCGAGACUCUUGAACGUUCUUUGAUUGGUGUCGAGCCAGUCAGAGUUUGAUCUUGUUUUUAGCAAUAAAAACUUGAGGAUCUGCUUUCAACGGCGGUAAGCGUUCAGGAGGUUAAUU